Molecule: long non-coding RNA, 1282 nt
Organism: Schistocerca cancellata (South American locust)
Lineage: Eukaryota; Metazoa; Arthropoda; Insecta; Orthoptera; Acrididae
Exons: 3
Source: RefSeq, a predicted model, not a curated record
UGUUAGACGUGUCCGAAAAAAUUAUUUGUAAAAUGAAGAAAAGACUGUUCUAUCGCGUUCGGUUUGUAUCGCCGUGCAAGCAGAUGCAGUUCUGUGAAGUUUGGGAGAUUCCGGAGUGUUUGUUGUAGAGAAAACCGCGUGUGAAACUAUCGGCCUUUGUAAAGAAUUCUGCGUGGCGUGUUCAGUAUGCAUUUACAGAACAUUUUUGGCGAGCAUCUUCAUUUAAGGAAUCCACUGAAAAGGAUCGAGUGUGAAACUCAUUUCGUAGCAGAGUAUUGACUGUAUGAAUCUCGUAACAUUUCGGGUUGGAAUUAGCACAUUUCUGGCUGUCUUGUGUGUGACAUAAGCUGCAUGAACUAGUAGUGGAUGUGCUAUCGACGUAAAUAUGGGCUUGUUGACACAAUAGCUAAAAGACAAUAAAAAACAUUAGUAUCGAUAAGCGGACAUUUUCAAUGAAGGAAGGAAGCAUCCCCUUAUGCCCGUUAUUACUAGAAAUUUGCAGGUUUAUUUUGUUACCUGAGUUACGCGGACUAUGCAAUCGUAAGUAUGGACGAUGGUUUUCUUCAACGCUGCUUUUAACAUCGUCUGUAUAGUACCUACGAAUGCAGAGCAACGGAUGGUGAACGAACGCUAUACUGAGCAGGUGCAAGAGAAUUGUAAAAGAAGCACGUAAAGGCCUGCGAUGCGACGAGUCGUCAAUCACCAAUGGGACAAAACGCGCCUUCCGAGAAACAUAGGUGACGGCGCGUUUACUUUCUCUGACCCAUAAAGCGGCAGCGGCUGGCUACAAAAGUGCGGUGCAGCGCGUACGCUCACAUUCGCUCUCCGCCACUGCAGCUACGCACAACUCCCACCUCACAACAUGGUACGCGCGACGACGUUGCUUAUUUUGGCGCUGGUGGCUGCCGUGCUGUCUAUCUCGUGGGCUGCUGUGGUGGGCCCGUCCAUCGACAUUGGACCUAAACCCAGUCGACCACCUUACCAGCCAGGACCGUGGGUCUACCCCAAGCCCACGACGGCCAGAACUGGACGAUGAUGACUUGGACUUACGCCAAGCCACUCGCCCUUCCAACUUACUCCACUUCCCUACACUCAAUGACUGCAAUCGCAUCACACUGUGCUUGCUUUCACGUCAACUCACAGUUUCAGACGAUAGUCCUGUACAAUGGAUGAAUGCCAACAGAAACAUUUCCAUUUCACUUGCACCAUCACUUCUCAUACGAAUAUUAAAGACUUUUAUUUGUUAGCUUAUGUAAAUAAAAAUAUUGUUUAAUGCUCUUCA